GGGGGCGACAUGGCUUCGACGUGGGUAGCGAAACCUGAGGUGCAUGCCGAGGAUACAGACAGCCUCGUAAAAAAGCCUGUAAAACUAUAGUUGCCAACGACGACAACUACGCACUCGCCGCUUAAUAACCGGUAGAUGCCGUCUGACUGGAGCCGUGCUUGUGCGUCCAGCGCCCCUCGGGGCAUUCAGGCGUCAUAGCUCACAAGAUCGCGAAGAAGCAGGUCCGGGGCCGAUUCGCUAAAACUUAACGGAACCGCCAUCUGCACGCCUUGUCUGUCGAGCAGCAGCCGGUUAAACAUAUCGACAGAUCUAAGCAUGUAGAGCCGAUGGCGGAGUACUUGCGGACGCGGGUUCGAUUCCCGCCGCCUCCACCA
This 374-nucleotide transfer-messenger RNA is filed under the name Chromatiaceae bacterium. It matches the Rfam family "transfer-messenger RNA". From Rfam's summary of the family: Bacterial tmRNA, also known as 10Sa RNA or SsrA, is named for its dual tRNA and mRNA-like properties. Its role is to liberate the mRNA from a stalled ribosome. To accomplish this part of the tmRNA is used as a reading frame that ends in a translation stop signal. The record is from RNAcentral. RNAcentral also lists the same sequence under 1 other name. Lineage: Bacteria; Pseudomonadati; Pseudomonadota; Gammaproteobacteria; Chromatiales; Chromatiaceae.